GAUGAACGCUAGCUACAGGCUUAACACAUGCAAGUCGAGGGGCAGCGCAGUGUAGCAAUACACGGGCGGCGACCGGCGCACGGGUGCGUAACGCGUAUCCAACCUUCCCGUUACUCUCGGAUAGCCUUCCGAAAGGGAGAUUAAUACGAGAUGGUGUUGAAAUUCCGCAUGUUAUUUCAACUAAAGAUUUAUCGGUAACGGAUGGGGAUGCGUGACAUUAGGUAGACGGCGGGGUAACGGCCCACCGUGGCGACGAUGUCUAGGGGUUCUGAGAGGAAGGUCCCCCANACUGGAACUGAGACACGGUCCAGACUCCUACGGGAGGCAGCAGUGAGGAAUAUUGGUCAAAUGGUCUGACGACUGAACCAGCCCAAAGUCGCGUGAGGGAAGACUGCCCUAUGGGUUGUAAACCUCUUUAGUCGGGGAGCAAAAAAGCGGACGUGUCCGCCAUUGAG
This 455-nucleotide ribosomal RNA is filed under the name uncultured bacterium. RNAcentral's name for it is "bacterial SSU rRNA". It matches the Rfam family "Bacterial small subunit ribosomal RNA", at positions 28 to 473 of the family's 1533-position model. The record is from RNAcentral.